GGGCGUGUGGCCUAGUGGUAUGAUUCUCGCUUUGGGCGAUUCUUAAGAAACACUUGGGAAAUAAAUCACAAACAUGCGAGAGGCCCUGGGUUCAAUUCCCAGCUCGCCCC
This is a transfer RNA of Kazachstania africana CBS 2517, 110 nucleotides long. It matches the Rfam family "tRNA". From Rfam's summary of the family: Transfer RNA (tRNA) molecules are approximately 80 nucleotides in length. Their secondary structure includes four short double-helical elements and three loops (D, anti-codon, and T loops). Further hydrogen bonds mediate the characteristic L-shaped molecular structure. tRNAs have two regions of fundamental functional importance: the anti-codon, which is responsible for specific mRNA codon recognition, and the 3' end, to which the tRNAs corresponding amino acid is attached (by aminoacyl-tRNA synthetases). tRNAs cope with the degeneracy of the genetic code in two manners: having more than one tRNA (with a specific anti-codon) for a particular amino acid; and 'wobble' base-pairing, i.e. permitting non-standard base-pairing at the 3rd anti-codon position. The record is from Rfam. Lineage: Eukaryota; Fungi; Ascomycota; Saccharomycetes; Saccharomycetales; Saccharomycetaceae.